Molecule: ribosomal RNA, 434 nt
Filed under: uncultured bacterium
Lineage: Bacteria
Description: partial 16S ribosomal RNA
Rfam family: Bacterial small subunit ribosomal RNA
Source: RNAcentral
AGCGAACGCCGGCGGCAGGCCUAACACAUGCAAGUCGAACGAACCUUUCGGGGUUAGUGGCGGACGGGUGAGUAACACGUGGGAACGUGCCUUUAGGUUCGGAAUAACUCAGGGAAACUUGUGCUAAUACCGAAUGUGCCCUUCGGGGGAAAGAUUUAUCGCCUUUAGAGCGGCCCGCGUCUGAUUAGCUAGUUGGUUGAGGUAAUGGCUCACCAAGGCGACGAUCAGUAGCUGGUCUGAGAGGAUGAUCAGCCACAUUGGGACUGAGACACGGCCCAAACUCCUACGGGAGGCAGCAGUGGGGAAUCUUGCGCAAUGGGCGAAAGCCUGACGCAGCCAUGCCGCGUGAAUGAUGAAGGUCUUAGGAUUGUAAAAUUCUUUCACCGGGGACGAUAAUGACGGUACCCGGAGAAGAAGCCCCGGCUAACUUCGUG